This 44-nucleotide small RNA is filed under the name Bigelowiella longifila. RNAcentral describes it as "partial Mitochondrion-encoded tmRNA". The record is from RNAcentral. Lineage: Eukaryota; Cercozoa; Chlorarachniophyceae.
UGAUAUUUCUAUCUUUUUGAAAGAAUACGGGCAUAAAAAUAUCA